UAUGCAAGCAACCUCGGAAGACUACGAAUUUCGAAUCCUUGAUGACAACCCAGUGCUGGAAGGGACUGAUAAAACCAAGUCGAGUUGGUAUAAAAAAAUUAAUUGGAAACAAGCAGUCGAAAAUCUGAAGCUGACAUACAAAAGGGAUGAAUUGCGGGACAAUAAUUGGUGGCUCGCGAAGAUCAGGGUACUGCUGAUCUGGGCAAUUUGAGAGUAUCAAAGGAGCCGGGCUCUUGGGCUCACGUCCUACGGGAAGCUCUUGGACUAACGGAGGGAUGUCCACCAAAAGUGGGAGACGUGAAGGUGGACGGAGGGUUUUUCUCUGGUGGAUUUUGCAGAGAUAUUAACUUGGACAGCAAGGAUGGCUGGAGCAUGAAGUAGAGGCUUUUCCUCGAUGUCGAAGAUGGGAAUGGCACUAAAUUACUUACAGGAGUAGUUGAUCUAGAGCGAAAGCUCAUUAUU
Molecule: long non-coding RNA, 462 nt
Organism: Diachasma alloeum
Lineage: Eukaryota; Metazoa; Arthropoda; Insecta; Hymenoptera; Braconidae
Exons: 3
Source: RefSeq, a predicted model, not a curated record